GACGAACGCUGGCGGCGUGCCUAAUACAUGCAAGUAGAACGCUGAAGGAGGAGCUUGCUCUUCUGGAUGAGUUGCGAACGGGUGAGUAACGCGUAGGUAACCUGCCCUGUAGCGGGGGAUAACUAUUGGAAACGAUAGCUAAUACCGCAUAACAGUAGAUGUUGCAUGACAUUUGCUUAAAAGUUUCAAUUGUACCACUACCAGAUGCACCUGCGCUGUAUUUGCUAGUUGGUGGGGCAACGGCGCACCAAGGCGGCGAUACAUAGCCGACCUGAGAGGGGGAGCGGCCACACUGGGACGGGGACACGGCACAGAGUCCUUCGGGAGGCAGCAGUAGGGAAUCUGCGGCAAGGGGCGGAAGUCUGACCGAGCAACGCCGAGUGAGGGAAGAAGGUUUUCGGGUCGUAAAGCUCUGUUGUAAGAGAAGAACGAGUGUGAGAGUGGAAAGUUCACACUGUGACGGUAUCUGACCAGAAAGGGACGGCUAACUACGUG
This 495-nucleotide ribosomal RNA is filed under the name uncultured bacterium. Its description in RNAcentral is "partial 16S ribosomal RNA". It matches the Rfam family "Bacterial small subunit ribosomal RNA", at positions 28 to 507 of the family's 1533-position model. The record is from RNAcentral.